RNAcentral lists this long non-coding RNA (507 nucleotides) under Manihot esculenta (cassava). RNAcentral describes it as "long non-coding RNA (MESC_LNC002893)". The record is from RNAcentral. Lineage: Eukaryota; Viridiplantae; Streptophyta; Magnoliopsida; Malpighiales; Euphorbiaceae.
CCCUUCUUUUUCUCCGAAAUCUUUUUCUUGUUGUUAUGGUUGUAUUUUCUUCAAAAGAUAAAUUUGGCUUUCUCAAAACUCGUUGUUUGUGCGCUCAAUGAGAGUUGUGUGUAGCUUGAGUUGCUAGAAUGAUAAUGCAUGCAAUGUUUAUGUCUUUUUUUUUCCUUUUUUAUGUUGAGUCUUGAAUGUUUAUUUACUGAGUUGAUUGCAUGUUAGUGAUUUGGUAUUUCUAGAGUCGUUUUAAACCUUCUAAGUCAAUAUUGGAUGUUUCUUUAUGAUUUUGAAUUGUUGUAUAUGGGUUUAAUCACGUUUUGGUGGCUAUUGGCUGAGCCUGCAUUGCAGAAAAACACAGAUUCGGCUACCAAAUCUGUCUGUGAAGAUUGCCUUUUGGCCGUUUAACCUGCCUCCAAAGGUUUGGCCUUCGGAUCUGUAAGGGGACUUUAGGCUGUCGAAUUUGCCACUGAAAGUCCCAUGUCUAACCGUGUGCAGCCACAUGUUUUCUUAUAU